AUCCUGGGGUCUUUGACCCCAACUCCAAGGAAGCAAUACAAGUGAACAUUCAGCUGCAAUCUAUGCAUUUUGUAUUGGCAUCAGCUCAGGAGGACUCCAUGCCACUUUUGAAUAACAACAGCAGAAGCACUGGCAAGUGUGAACUUUCAAAGAAGGUCCAUUCUUUCAGUAAAAUAAAAAUUACUAGUAGCGUACCUGGAGAUGUCAUUUUUGUCAAACCCAUUGUCUGGUUGUGAUGGUUAGAUGCAUCUUUCCUUUGGAUUGCCUAUCACCUUAGCACUGGGAAAUGCACAUUUUUUUCACGUAGCUUUGAAUGCAUUUGUGAACUGCAUCUGCCUUUCCCUGGGUGGGAGGCGGGAGCAUCUCACCAACACAUCACCACACACGCCACUCUUCUGUUUCCUUAGAUAGGUCGGUUGUUCCUGAUAGAAAUUUCCUUCCCUGCAUUUUAUAAUGUCUUCAUUCCUCUUCCAAGACUCCAGCUGCUGAGACUAUUCAUCUUUCCAGCUAGAACCAAUGGAUGCCUUUCCAAUGGUGUUCUGCAUAUCCCCUCCGUCUUUUUCAAUGUUUGUAUUCUGCACAAGUCUUGGCAACUACUACUGGAAUGUCAGAGAUGAGGAAUCUAAAGAUGCUGCAGUUCUGUUGGAGUUCUGCCUCAAGUCACACAGCAGAUGGUCAGGAAAGCCACAGCCUGAAAUUACACGUCUGAACGCAACACGAUUUUGGCUUGUUACUUGAAAACAAACAAACACCACUGGCAGGAGCUUGGAGACCUUUCCAAAGAGGAUCAGUGCAGAGCUCAAACCUUUGCCAACACGGCCUGUCCGGGGAGCUCCAAGGAGUGGGACCCCUUCCCCACGCCACGCACAUAUUGCCAUGUUUGAAAAACUUCUAAAGUCACAGAAUAAGGGACACGGAUGCUUUACAAACAUAACACAGGUGAAAUAUGUGUUAUGUACGUAAGCAUUUAGAAGAAAGAAAUACUGCCUCAACUGAUUUCUGAGCAAAACAAAAUUUCAAAAUGGCAUAACCUGAUAUUGAAUCUCACUUUUUCAGUCUCUUCUGUUUUUUUUUAAUGAAUUAUUUUUUCUUUUAAAAGAUUUAUUCAUUUAUUUAUCUGAAAAGCAAAGUGACAGAGGGAAAGGCAGUGGGGUGGUGGAGAGAGACAGACAGAUAGAGAAACAGACAGACUGACAGACAGACAGAGAGGUCUUCCAUUCCCCAAAUGGCCACAAACGAGGAGCCUGGAACUCCAUCUGAGUCUCCCACACGGGUGCAAGGGCCCAAGCACUUGGGCAAUCCUCCUCGGCUUUCCUAAGUGCAUUAGCAGGGAGUUGGGAUGGAAGGGAGGCAGCCAGGACUCCAAAUGGAGCAUCUGAGACUUGAACACUCACUCAGAUAUGAGAUGCUGGAGAUGCAAGGAGUGGUUUGACCCACUGGGCCACUGCAUUUGCCCCUGUGGUUUUCUGAUCAGAGAAGCAGUUUGGUGCUGUGAGUAAAGGCAGGGGUCAGGAAGAAGAUCCGUUGGGAUCAUGAGGCUAACGCUGACUCUGGUGCCUGGCAGAGGUCAGGGCACACAGACAAUUUCACUCCUGCUCUUGGGGAUUUUACAUUCCAGAAGAGGGAAGAGAAGAGAGGAAAAAAAAGACAGGCAGUUAAAGAAGCUGUUUUCAAAUAAUGUUGAUGACUAGGAAGACCACACAGCAGAGUGGGUGACAGAGAUGACUCGUGGGACAGU
Molecule: long non-coding RNA, 1738 nt
Organism: Oryctolagus cuniculus (rabbit)
Lineage: Eukaryota; Metazoa; Chordata; Mammalia; Lagomorpha; Leporidae
Source: Ensembl